CGCACAUUGCGCCCCCUGGCAUUCCGGGGGGCAUGCCCGUUCGAGCGUCAUAUAACAACUCAAGCCUGGCUUGGUAUCGGGCCUGUCGACUAAGGGUCGGGCCUCAAAUGCGUCGGCUAUUGAUUAGUAAAUGGGGGGCCUCGUAACAAGGCGCUGUGACUGUCAAUCAAUCCACGGUGCGAAGUUAGGCCCGUCUGCCCUAUGCAUGUAUAACCAAACACAAGUUUGACCUCGGAUCGGGUAGGAAUACCCGCUGAACUUAA
This 263-nucleotide unclassified non-coding RNA is filed under the name fungal sp. Its description in RNAcentral is "partial contains 5.8S ribosomal RNA, internal transcribed spacer 2, and large subunit ribosomal RNA". Lineage: Eukaryota; Fungi. The record is from RNAcentral.